AUUAUAUUCAAAAGAUUAAUUAAAUUCAAUUAUAUUCAAUAGAUCAAAAUGAUACUAUUAUGAGCCUAGAUGAGGAAAAUUACAUGAAAACAAAGCAGAAAUAAUGCUUUCUAGAGUAAUUUUAUUCCUAUUUAGUUAUAAUCUUACUGGAUCAUAAACAUUUAAGUGAUUUUACCUUGUAAUCAGCUAAAUGUAGCCAUUUGUUUGGCCAGUGACACAUAUGUGUUAGUGUUAUACGGAAACUUCCUGGAAGUCUCCUUAAAAAGGAAAGGAAUAACAAUUUCCCUUACUUUCAUCUUGUGGCUUGCAACAAGAUUAUAAUGGAGGAACUCUGGCUGGACCAGGCAGAAAAAGACCCUAAAGAUGAUGACCUAGUAAACUGGACUGCUCCACCACCAGUCCACGGAGUUUCCAUACCAACCCUGGAAUAACUAACUCCAGACUUAUUUUAUAUGUUGCUUAACUGGAAGAUGUGAGUCUGAAGCUCUGGCAGCCAUUUGCCUACCACUAGGAGAGAGUCUAUUUAAAGAAUAAAGCAAUGCAAAUCAAGACAGAGAGACAGAAAAUCUUGAAAGCAGUAUUGAUUCUCUGGAUGCAGUCUUUCCUUAAGAUGUACUCUUGGACUUUCCAAUUAUAUGAGCCAAUAAAUCCUUUUUUGGGGGGUCUAA
Molecule: non-coding RNA, 668 nt
Organism: Microcebus murinus (gray mouse lemur)
Lineage: Eukaryota; Metazoa; Chordata; Mammalia; Primates; Cheirogaleidae
Source: RefSeq, a predicted model, not a curated record